GGCGCGCGCCUGGGCUCCGGCCUGGGGCGCUGAGGGGCGGGGGUCGCCCUUUCUCCCUCGAGUGCUCCCGCCGCCGGCUGUCACCUCCACGUGCCCGGGGCCGGUGACAUUCGCUCGGGGAAGUUAUUUCACCUGCAGGCGCCAGCGGAGAGCCUGCAAGGUUCCGGCGCGUUCUCUGCAGGUGACACCCUUGGCCUCCGAGGUCGGAAGGUCGGGGGGCGGAGUUCUCCCUGUCCCCAGGCCUUCCCCCCCGCCCUCCGUCACUGUCGACCCCCGUCGGGGCUCCGGUGCUGGCGUUCGCCCGGGCCGCGCGCGAGGCGGUGCCCGGCCGCCGUGGAGGGACUGAGCUGCGGCGCCCUGGCCUCUGUAAAAGAUCUGUGAACUACUGAUGACCAGCUGAGACCUUGGCUCAUCCCAGAUCAGAAACCUAUACAGUUUCAAAGACUCAUACAAGAGCUCCUGGAAAUGCUUGUGCCUAGGUAUGGUCUUGCUGUGUACCCCACACUGGCCUAAAACUGAUGAUCCUCCUGCCUUGUCCCAGAUGUUGGGAAAACAGAGGUGCACCACACAUCUGGCUUCCUUUACCACAGUUCAAGAUAGGAGAUAUUUUUAAUGCUUUCUUUCCUAUAAAUGCCACUUGCCAGACACAAGCAAGUAUCCUUUACCAGAGGUUCUGUUUCUCUAAGGAAGUUCAAGUCUGCAAUCUCCAGGUAUUUCUGCAUACCAGAAUCCUCUGUUUCCAACCCAGUGGUCAUUGUUAUCUUUCCCUUGGGACACUGGAUUUGUAGGCUUAGACCUCAUACUUCCCAGUACCCAUAUACCAGGCUGGCUGGCAGGUUCCGUCACAUGGCACUGCCUACAGAGCUGGCCUUUGCCUCUACAAAACCCCAGAAGGCAUCAGCUUACUGCUGACCAGUGUGCCAUUGGCAGUUAGGGCUCAUCUAGGAGGCCAGUCCAUACGACUUUAGUCAGAGGAUGGCAGACUGCUUCCUAGAACAAAUAAUGUCACCCACUUUCUCCAGCUGCUGAGGAAAAGAGAGGUGAGCUCAUGAUAGGACUCAGAGAAAGGCAGCAAUUGCUGAGUCAGAAUGGCAGCAGAGGGGACCUGGGACACAGGCCUUGUAGCCAGGCUGCCUUGCCUGCUUCACUUACUGGCUUUGUCCUCAACAGGAAUUUGAGAGGAGGAAAUAAAAGCCAAAGGAA
Long non-coding RNA from Dipodomys spectabilis (banner-tailed kangaroo rat), 1203 nucleotides. RefSeq lists it as uncharacterized. The record is from RefSeq and is a predicted model, not a curated record. NCBI's taxonomy places the organism in Eukaryota, Metazoa, Chordata, Mammalia, Rodentia, Heteromyidae. The transcript is spliced from 3 exons.